CGUAGGGUGCGAGCGUUAAUCGGAAUUACUGGGCGUAAAGUGUGCGCAGGUGGCUGAGCAAGUCGAGUGUGAAAUCCCCGGGCUUAACUUGGGAAUUGCGCUCGAAACUACUUGGCUCGAGUGUGGCAGAGGAAGGUGGAAUUCCAGGUGUAGCGGUGAAAUGCGUAGAGAUCUGGAGGAACACCGAUGGCGAGGGCAGCCUUCUGGGCCAACACUGACGCUCAUGCACGAAAGCGUGGGGAGCAAACAGGAUUAGAUACCCUGGUAGUCCACGCCCUAAACGAUGAUGACUAGUUGUUGGGGGAGUUAAAUCCCUUAGUAACGCAGCUAACGCGUGAAGUCAUCCGCCUGGGGAGUACGGUCGCAAGAUUA
Molecule: ribosomal RNA, 372 nt
Filed under: uncultured organism
Description: bacterial SSU rRNA
Rfam family: Bacterial small subunit ribosomal RNA
Source: RNAcentral